RNAcentral lists this ribosomal RNA (229 nucleotides) under uncultured eukaryote. Its description in RNAcentral is "partial 18S ribosomal RNA". It matches the Rfam family "Eukaryotic small subunit ribosomal RNA", at positions 1208 to 1456 of the family's 1831-position model. The record is from RNAcentral.
GGGAAACUCACCAGGUCCAGACUGGGUAAGGAUGUACAGAUUGACAGCUCUUUACAGAUUCUCAGGGUGGUGGUGCAUGGCCGUUCUUAGUUGGUGGAGUGAUUUGUCUGGUUUAUUUCGAUAACGAACGAGAUCUUAACCUGCUAAAUAGUAACACGUAUCUCCGGAUAUUUGAUUACUUCUUAGAGGGACUUUGUGGUUUCAACUGCAAGGAAGUUUGAGGCAAUAA